ACUAAGGUAAUUUAAUAAAAAUAUCAGCCUGUGGCACUGAAAACGCCAGUUAAACCCUGGCCCUAUGUC
RNAcentral lists this transfer RNA (69 nucleotides) under Echinometra mathaei. RNAcentral's name for it is "tRNA-His". It matches the Rfam family "tRNA". Rfam says of the family: Transfer RNA (tRNA) molecules are approximately 80 nucleotides in length. Lineage: Eukaryota; Metazoa; Echinodermata; Echinoidea; Camarodonta; Echinometridae. The record is from RNAcentral. RNAcentral also lists the same sequence under 1 other name.